Molecule: ribosomal RNA, 301 nt
Filed under: uncultured bacterium
Lineage: Bacteria
Description: partial 16S ribosomal RNA
Rfam family: Bacterial small subunit ribosomal RNA
Source: RNAcentral
CAGUCGCCACGGUAAUACGUAGGUGGCAAGCGUUGUCCGGAAUUAUUGGGCGUAAAGGGCUCGCAGGCGGUUUCUUAAGUCUGAUGUGAAAGCCUCCGGCUCAACCGGGGAGGGUCAUUGGAAACUGGGAAACUUGAGUGCAGAAGAGAAGAGUGGAAUUCCACGUGUAGCGGUGAAAUGCGUAGAGAUGUGGAGGAACACCAGUGGCGAAGGCGACUCUCUGGUCUGUAACUGACGCUGAGGAGCGAAAGCGUGGGGAGCGAACAGGAUUAGAUACCCCGGUAGUCCCUGUCUCUUAUAC